This is a long non-coding RNA of Schistocerca cancellata (South American locust), 355 nucleotides long. RefSeq lists it as uncharacterized. NCBI's taxonomy places the organism in Eukaryota, Metazoa, Arthropoda, Insecta, Orthoptera, Acrididae. The record is from RefSeq and is a predicted model, not a curated record. The transcript has 3 exons.
CAAUAUUGUGGCAAGAAGUCAGCAUGAUCCGGUUGCAAUCCUGAAACCUCAUAGAGUAUUCAAUUUACCUUUUUGCAUCAAUGUUCGUAAUGAAUAGAUUCUUGACAAUUUAUUAAUGUAUGGGCUCCACAGACUAUGCUGAAUGGGAAGUUAAUCAUGGCAAUGAAUAGUAAUCCAAGCUUGUGCUUCAUCUCUAAUUAGUGUCUUGUCAAUGGUCAUGAAAGCAUUUGAAACAGUACACUCCAUGCUAGAUGAAUUGUGCAUAUUCAGAACUCUGUGCAGUGAUCUGCCAGUAUUCAAGUAGAAGGUGGGUGUUUGGAAUGUUUUCUUUAAAACAAUGUGAACUAUUCAUAAA